Molecule: non-coding RNA, 21 nt
Filed under: Caenorhabditis elegans
Lineage: Eukaryota; Metazoa; Nematoda; Chromadorea; Rhabditida; Rhabditidae
Source: RNAcentral
UAUGUAUAGAUUGGAUUUUGG